AUGGGUACAGCACACACGGCCCCCAGCAUCACCUAUGCAGCCCCUUCCUUUGGGGAGGAGUAUAAUUUGAUUUGGCCCUGGGAGCCUAACACAAUGCAUUCUGAAGAGUGGUCUGAACCAGCCUCAAAGCAGACGCCCGGUGAGGUUUCACCCAGCAGAAUAAUGGAAAAAGGAGUGUGUGAAUGGAGAGACCCAGAAGAGCAGAUGGGCAAUGCGAGCUGCCCAGCUUCCCAAGCAGAUUCCAGACGCUUCUGGGAUUCCUCGCACCAGCAGAAGCAGCCUUGCUGGGUGCAUGACUGGGGAAGCACGGAGCAGCACUUUGCGUCUGACCGGCUGGUGCCAGCAGCUGCCAGACUCUCCGCAACGCUCAUGAAUUGUUUUGCUCCUUCCCCUUCUUUCAAACCACUAUUACCAGCCCUGUUCUUAAUCAUCUCAGGUCAAACCGAGCUGCAGCCUGUGGUUUGGCUGCCUGUUUGUUUAACUCUGUGUGGCUGGGAAGGGGUCACUGUCGCUCGCAGGCUUGGGCAGAGCUCCUCAGCCCUGCAGGCUCUGGUCUGA
RNAcentral lists this long non-coding RNA (558 nucleotides) under Anser cygnoides (Swan goose). RNAcentral's name for it is "lncRNA (ENSACDG00005008655.1)". The record is from RNAcentral. Lineage: Eukaryota; Metazoa; Chordata; Aves; Anseriformes; Anatidae.